This 21-nucleotide non-coding RNA is filed under the name Caenorhabditis elegans. Lineage: Eukaryota; Metazoa; Nematoda; Chromadorea; Rhabditida; Rhabditidae. The record is from RNAcentral.
UAGCACUCAUAUAAAAAAGGA